This 1346-nucleotide ribosomal RNA is filed under the name uncultured bacterium. RNAcentral describes it as "partial 16S ribosomal RNA". It matches the Rfam family "Bacterial small subunit ribosomal RNA", at positions 28 to 1381 of the family's 1533-position model. The record is from RNAcentral.
GACGAACGUUGGCGGCGUGCUUAACACAUGCAAGUCGAACGGAAAGGCCCUGCUUUUGUGGGGUGCUCGAGUGGCGAACGGGUGAGUAACACGUGAGUAACCUGCCCUUGACUUUGGGAUAACUUCAGGAAACUGGGGCUAAUACCGGAUAGGAGCUCCUGCUGCAUGGUGGGGGUUGGAAAGUUUCGGCGGUUGGGGAUGGACUCGCGGCUUAUCAGCUUGUUGGUGGGGUAGUGGCUUACCAAGGCUUUGACGGGUAGCCGGCCUGAGAGGGUGACCGGCCACAUUGGGACUGAGAUACGGCCCAGACUCCUACGGGAGGCAGCAGUGGGGAAUAUUGCACAAUGGGCGGAAGCCUGAUGCAGCAACGCCGCGUGCGGGAUGACGGCCUUCGGGUUGUAAACCGCUUUCGCCUGUGACGAAGCGUGAGUGACGGUAAUGGGUAAAGAAGCACCGGCUAACUACGUGCCAGCAGCCGCGGUGAUACGUAGGGUGCGAGCGUUGUCCGGAUUUAUUGGGCGUAAAGGGCUCGUAGGUGGUUGAUCGCGUCGGAAGUGUAAUCUUGGGGCUUAACCCUGAGCGUGCUUUCGAUACGGGUUGACUUGAGGAAGGUAGGGGAGAAUGGAAUUCCUGGUGGAGCGGUGGAAUGCGCAGAUAUCAGGAGGAACACCAGUGGCGAAGGCGGUUCUCUGGGCCUUUCCUGACGCUGAGGAGCGAAAGCGUGGGGAGCGAACAGGCUUAGAUACCCUGGUAGUCCACGCUGUAAACGGUGGGUACUAGGUGUGGGGUCCAUUCCACGGGUUCCGUGCCGUAGCUAACGCUUUAAGUACCCCGCCUGGGGAGUACGGCCGCAAGGCUAAAACUCAAAGGAAUUGACGGGGCCCCGCACAAGCGGCGGAGCAUGCGGAUUAAUUCGAUGCAACGCGUAGAACCUUACCUGGGUUUGACAUGGAUCGGGAGUGCUCAGAGAUGGGUGUGCCUCUUUUGGGGUCGGUUCACAGGUGGUGCAUGCCUGUCGUCAGCUCAUGUCGUGAGAUGUUGGGUUAAGUCCCGCAACGAGCGCAACCCUUGUUCACUGUUGCCAGCACGUUAUGGUGGGGACUCAGUGGAGACCGCCGGGGUCAACUCGGAGGAAGGUGGGGAUGACGUCAAGUCAUCAUGCCCCUUAUGUCCAGGGCUUCACGCAUGCUACAAUGGCUGGUACAGAGAGUGGCGAGCCUGUGAGGGUGAGCGAAUCUCGGAAAGCCGGUCUCAGUUCGGAUUGGGGUCUGCAACUCGACCUCAUGAAGUCGGAGUCGCUAGUAAUCGCAGAUCAGCAACGCUGCGGUGAAUACGUUCCCGGGGCU